Molecule: long non-coding RNA, 418 nt
Filed under: Vulpes vulpes (red fox)
Lineage: Eukaryota; Metazoa; Chordata; Mammalia; Carnivora; Canidae
Description: lncRNA (ENSVVUG00000020479.1)
Source: RNAcentral
CUUUGGAGUACAGUGGGAUCAUGGAACUAAAAGGGUUGAGAGGUUGUUUCAGGAAAUAAGGACAGUUUGGGGGGAGGAGAGUGACACACUGACGAUGUGGAGAUCAGCUCUGCACAUCUAGUGAUUAUAGAUCAGCGGGAUGAGCCCAGGUGUCUGGUGAGGAGCCAGGAAGCCUGGGAAGUCCACAUUUCUCCCCCUUGUCCAUGCUCUGCAGUCCCACAUCAGCAUUUCAGAUCUUUGUAAAACAUCACUCAUCAGCUUUUAAAGCAACACCUUGGGAGAGUUAAGCAGAAGCCUUUUCAGCAUUCCUAGUCUCCCUGUGGAAUCCACUGCAGACAAGAUUUCUUCUUACUUAUGUGCAGCGUUGAAAAGGCAAGUCCCAGGGGUACAUAACUUGCAGUCGCCAGGACUUGUGCUG